RNAcentral lists this RNase P RNA (425 nucleotides) under Deinococcus budaensis. RNAcentral describes it as "Bacterial RNase P class A". It matches the Rfam family "Bacterial RNase P class A". Rfam says of the family: Ribonuclease P (RNase P) is a ubiquitous endoribonuclease, found in archaea, bacteria and eukarya as well as chloroplasts and mitochondria. Lineage: Bacteria; Thermotogati; Deinococcota; Deinococci; Deinococcales; Deinococcaceae. The record is from Rfam by way of RNAcentral.
GCGGGGGGGUUCACGGUCGCGCUCCUGCCCAGCAGGAGUGAGGAAAGUCCGGGCACCGCAGGGCAGGAUGCCAGCUAACGGCUGGUCGGCGAGCCAAGCGCCCGCGCGGGUGCCGAAAGCGCGCGGGAGGCGGCGAAGCCGAAGGACAGUGCCACAGAAACCAGACCGCCAUCCCCAUGCAGGCCCCGGCGCGGGCCGGGGGUGGUCAGGGUGAAACGGUGCGGUAAGAGCGCACCAGGCCCCCGGGAGACUGGGAGCGCUGGUAAACCCCAUCCGGUGCAAGACCCGACAGUGCGGGAGGAACGGCCCGUUCCGAUGAUCGCCAGGAUGGUCGCAUGAGGUCCGCGGCGACGCGUAUCCCAGAGAGAUGACCGUGCAGCCACGCAAGUGGUGGACAGAACCCGGCUUACAGCCCCCCCGUACCC